Molecule: long non-coding RNA, 590 nt
Organism: Physella acuta
Lineage: Eukaryota; Metazoa; Mollusca; Gastropoda; Physidae
Source: RefSeq, a predicted model, not a curated record
ACGGUUUAUAAAGAAUUCAUCUAUUGCCCACUCUACUGCUGUGGUACGUACGGAAGUGGAUACUGUUGUAGUAAUGUGAGUGAACAAAGAUAUUCAAAAAAUGAGAUCGAUUGGAAGGAACAAGUAGACUUGACAUGUGUAGUCUCUAACUGGUCAUGGACAUGGUGGUCAAUGCAAACACUCAAACAUUGCCCUUAUGGAUGUUGCGGUGAUGACAAGGAGUGUUGUAUCAGUGAUGUGAAAUAUUUCAUAUUCUGCAAUUGGCUUGCUUUCUCAAAUAUUUUUCUGGCUCCCAUAUCGUAUUGCCUUGGGCUUUAUUUGUGUCUCUUCCUGGCAAACCAACUCUGCAAGCUGAUGAGACUUCCAAUCCAGCGACCAAUAAUGCCACGAAUACGUGGAUGGUUGCGACGGUUAGGAAUACUACCUACCCCGCCUCAGCGACCUCGGCCCCCAAUCCGGAGAGCUUUUCGUCGACAGUAUCGCGGUUUUUGAGUAUCUUAGAUUACUGUACAUUUAUUCCUGCUCCUGUAUUUGUGUUUAACUUUUUUAAAUAGCUAUUUUUAAUACAUCGUUAUUUUCUCUAUCUUUAC